UCAUUCGGAUUCGCCAUCAUACGUCCAACCAUGCAUUUGAUAUGCAUAUAUAUGCAUCACGAGCCACGGUUGGGCUGUAUGAUGGCGAUACCGAUUGG
Non-coding RNA from Triticum aestivum (bread wheat), 98 nucleotides. NCBI's taxonomy places the organism in Eukaryota, Viridiplantae, Streptophyta, Magnoliopsida, Poales, Poaceae. The record is from Rfam.